GUUUCCGUAGGUGAACCUGCGGAAGGAUCAUUGUCGAAACUCGACCAAGGUCUAUCCGACCCCGAGCCGUCCCGCGGGACACAGGCCGGUCGCCUCGUCGCGUCAGCGCGGGAGCGCCGGGCGGUCGACGGCUCGACCCCCCCCUGACGGCCCCGGCCCCGGAGCCCUCGUUCUGCGAGACUCCGGGCCGGGCCAGAUCCGGAAGCGGUUAACGUCGCUCCGGCCCGGUCGCAUCGUCGCCGGGCCGGCGCGAGCGCCGAUGCCGCCAGCGCACCCCGACCCCGCCGCGGCCGAGAGGCCUGCCGCGGGGAACGGCCCGUCCUGAGGAUUGCCCCCCGUUCGCCGAGGGGGGACGUCGGGCCGUGGGGAGCGCGGCAGAGCGGUUCACGGUGCACGAUCCAAGUCUCUCGUCGGCGAAAUCGGGCCUUUCCGCCGGCCUCGGGGCUCUCCGCCCGUCGGGGAGCCUCGGAACGGCGGAGCAUCGCCAGCAAGCCCUGAAAGAUGGGCGAGAAAAUAACCCCGAACGGUGGAUCACUCGGCUCGCGGAU
Molecule: unclassified non-coding RNA, 548 nt
Filed under: Bemisia tabaci
Lineage: Eukaryota; Metazoa; Arthropoda; Insecta; Hemiptera; Aleyrodidae
Description: sequence contains 18S rRNA gene, ITS1, 5.8S rRNA gene
Source: RNAcentral